Molecule: ribosomal RNA, 395 nt
Filed under: uncultured bacterium
Lineage: Bacteria
Description: bacterial SSU rRNA
Rfam family: Bacterial small subunit ribosomal RNA
Source: RNAcentral
AAUUUUGGACAAUGGGGGCAACCCUGAUCCAGCCAUUCCGCGUGAGUGAAGAAGGCCUUCGGGUUGUAAACCUCUUUUCUCAGGGAAGAUCCAAGACGGUACCUGAGGAAUAAGCCACGGCUAACUACGUGCCAGCAGCCGCGGUAAUACGUAGGUGGCAAGCGUUGUCCGGAUUUACUGGGCGUAAAGAGCGCGCAGGCGGCUGGGUCAGUCCGAUGUGAAAGCUUCCGGCUUAACUGGAAAAUUGCAUCGGAAACUGCUCGGCUUGAAGGUGGGAGAGGGUAGCGGAAUUCCCGGUGUAGUGGUGAAAUGCGUAGAUAUCGGGAGGAACACCAGUGGCGAAGGCGGCUACCUGGCCCAUUCUUGACGCUGAGGCGCGAAAGCUAGGGGAGCAA